Hippopotamus amphibius kiboko is the source of this 104-nucleotide small nuclear RNA. NCBI's taxonomy places the organism in Eukaryota, Metazoa, Chordata, Mammalia, Artiodactyla, Hippopotamidae. The record is from RefSeq and is a predicted model, not a curated record.
GUGCUCUUUUCAGCAGCACAUAUACUAAAAUUGGAAUGACACAGAGAUUAGUACGGCCCCUGUGCAAGGAUGACACACAAAUUCGUGAGGUGUUCCAUAUUUUU